CGCAUCUGUGCAUGCAGCAUAUCAAUAAGCGGAGGAAAAGAAACUAACAAGGAUUCCCUUAGUAACGGCGAGUGAAGCGAGAAGAGCUCAAAUUUGAAAUCUUCAAGGUUUUACCUUGACGAAUUGUAGUUUAAAGAAGUGUUUUCUGUUGAAGUUUUGGUAAAAGUUCUUUGGAAUAGGACAUCAUAGAGGGUGAGAAUCCCGUAUUUGACCAUUAUUUUCAGCUGUGUGAAUACACUUUCAAAGAGUCGGAUUGUUUGGGAAUGCAGUCCAAAAUGGGUGGUAAAUUUCAUCUAAAGCUAAAUAUUGGCGAGAGACCGAUAGCGAACAAGUACCGUGAGGGAAAGAUGAAAAGAACUUUGAAAAGAGAGUUAAACAGUACGUGAAAUUGUCAAAAGGGAAGCGUUUGACACCAGUGUUGUUUUCUCGAAAAUCAAUUAAAAAGAGUUGGAUUUUGUUGUGUAUUGACCUUAACAGCUUGCAUUCAAUCUUUCAUUGCUUUUUUUAAUGCACUUUUCGUUUAACAAGUCAACAUCAGUUUCUUUUGUUGUAAAAAGGUCAUUGGAAGGUGGCUUUCUUUUCGGAGAAAGUGUUUAUAGCCUUUGACUCCUGCAAUCGGAGAGACUGAGGUCUGCAGCGUAGAUCCUUCGGGGUUAGAUACAUUUGUGCUAAGUUAUAGCUUUUUAUAGACAACUUGUUGACUAUGAUUAGUCUUGUAGCUUACUCGCUUAUGCUAUUUUACCUACGCUUAGGAUGUUGACACACGCGCGUGCUCG
Molecule: ribosomal RNA, 776 nt
Filed under: uncultured Neocallimastigales
Lineage: Eukaryota; Fungi; Neocallimastigomycota; Neocallimastigomycetes; Neocallimastigales
Description: partial large subunit ribosomal RNA
Rfam family: Eukaryotic large subunit ribosomal RNA
Source: RNAcentral